GCAAAAUUGUUGAGCCAAGGUCCUGGAACUGUGAGUAAGAAAAUGACAAACCCAUCUCUCAGUGGCACCCCUACUGCAGGAGUUGAGCACUCAUUAGAGAAGCAGGAAAUGGACCUGAAUAUCCUCUUAGCAGCCAUGACUGGAUGCCAAAUGGGACAAAGAAGAACUUUGAAUAUGACAUCACACUACCUCCUGCACUGUGGUUCCUGAUAAGAAAUCAGCCAUUCAUCUUACUGAGACUCCUUGAUUGGUGCCCUCAUAAGAAGAGAAAGACACACCAAAGCACUUCCUUUGAUGUGAAGAUACAGUGAUAAGGUAGCACUUUCCAGGAUCUUACUGUUACCCAGGAUGAAGUACUGUGGCAUGAUCACAGCUCCCUGAAGCCUCAACCUCUCCAAGCUCAGGUGAUUUCUUCCACCUCAGCCUCCAAAGUAGCUGGGACUACAGGCAUGCGCCACUACACCCAGCUAAUUUUUUUGUGUGUUUUGGAGAGAUAGGGUUUCAUCAUGUUGCCCAGGCUGGUCUGAAACUCCUGGACUCAAGCAAUCUACCCACCUGGGCCUCCCAAAGUGCUAGGAUUACAGGCAUGAGCCACUACGCCCAGCAAGGUAAUGAUUAAACUAAAAGUAAUUGAAAUAUUGGCAUCUUGAUUUAUAUAAUAUGUAUUUAUCAGUUUUUCUAUUAUAAGAGGACAAAUAAGACAGAAAGUUGGUAGUCAAGUCAGUCAAAACAAGACAGUGUCUAAUUUGAGAUUAUAAACAUUAUAAUGCAUGAGAAAAACCAAACGCACUUCACAUUAAAGGUAUUUUUUAUGCAUUCACACUGGCGAGCAUCGAAGUUUACCUUUAUUGACACAUAAAAAGUUAUUGUAGAUUGUUAUGACACAUUAUUUCUUGCUGCCUUUUUUAUCUUAAUGACUUUCGCAAAACAAUGUGAUAUAAAUUGCUACUAGCAUAAAACACAUUCCAGCAAUAGAUAAAAACAGUUUCUUGGCUGCAAGAAGCAUAUAUUUCAACACCUGCUUCAGGCACAAUACAUUGAAAUUUAUGCCCUCUACUGUUAUUUGAGUAAUGCUCUUUCUGUUGUUUCUCACUGGGGAACUACAAUACUAAUAUCUUAAUUUUUCAGACAUCAAUAUUAGUUUAAUGAGUGAGACAUAAUUGCAAAACUUGCUAAUAAGGUACAAACCAAAAAGUCUUUAAAAAAAUUGCAAAAUCAGCAACUUGAAAGAGUUUUCGAACUUUAAAAUUGAUAAAUCAUACUCUGUUUAAAAUUAAAGUCAAUAAAAAGAGUAUUUUUUCCGUAUCAGUUGAUUUUCUAUAGGCUUAACGCCUAUACUGCACUAUAAAUUCACUCAAUAAAGGUCUUUUCUAAAAAAAAUUUUUAUAAAAUAAAAUAACCUGUACACACUAUGUUUUAUUAAUUAAAAAUAUUAAGAGAUAAUUUUAAAUGCCAUCUUACACUAAUUUCUGGAACUAUAAAGAGAAAUAUUUCACCAUCAUAGACCUCAAAGGCAGUCUUUACAGGAUUCAGACAAUACGUCCAACAUAGGAAGUGUUAUGGGUAAGGUGAGAGGGCUCUGGGGGGUAUUAGUUAUGGGGUGUGGAUGGGUCAGAGAAAAUUUCCCAGGGUAGGUAAUAUCUACAUUGCUUGAGUAACAGUUAUUCCUACGGUGUUACAGAGAGCCAUGACUACAAAAGCUCAGGGCUUAGAGAGAACCUGAGAGAUUCUGCCAACUUCAGAUACUUUUGCCUGGGUUGAAUGUGGAUGUGAAGGAGAGAAAAUUGGUGAGGAACACCUCAGGGAACACAUCAUGUACCAUAUUAAAGAGAUUGGAUUUAUCCUAAAAGCUACAGGGAGCUAACAAAGAAAGGCUGUAAUGGAGGACACUGAUGUGUUCUGAUUUGUGGCUCGCGCUGGUAACAAUAUCAAGAGUGGAUGCAGGGCAUGGGGAUGUGACAGUUGUUGUAUCAAUUAUUGCAGUAAAUGACAAGGGCCAGAAUUUAAACAAAUAUGAAAUGUCAGUAGGGAUAGAAUUUUUCUAUCAAAAAUAAUUAGGCUUUCCAACUAUGCUUAAUAAAUUUAAUAUGUUGAAUAGCUUGCAGAGAAUAAAAUGAGUGUGUAGUGGAUAUAAUGUGGAAGAUACAGAUCAAUAGUACACAUAUUUAUAAAGAUAUAUUCUCCUCAGUCCAAGAAUGAAUAUCAUUUUGGCCAAAAUCCAUUACCAAGCAGCUGUGUUACCCACAUUUAAUUCUGUGGGCUUUGCCUGUUUUAAUUUGAACAGCAGAACCUGUGAGGUAGGGGCUCUUAUUCCUCUUAUAAGAAACUGAGUUAUAUAGAGGUGUGUGAGUUUCCAAGGCUUCAUAGCAGAUUCUGGAAUGAAAACAUGUCUGUCUUCAGAGACAAUGGUUGUAAUAAUUAUGCAAUAUGCCCCAUCUUCUAAUUCAAAUAUUUGGAAUGCUCUGCCUACUACUACAGUUAAUUCCACACCAAAGCUGAAAUUACUUAUAGUAGGUAAGACUUCCAUGAGCUAAGUGAUUGAAUCCUGGCUUAUGUAAAGCCAUCAGGUAAUAGACACAGAUUUAGCUGCAGGUGCCAUGCUGCACAUUUGCAGCUUAAUGACCAAAGAGGGCUGAUGAGUAGUCAUGGUGGCAAUCAUUGCUACAAGGAAAGGAGAUGGAAAUGAGGACAGACUGCUGUGAUGGGAGACAGAGGUUGGAAGCACUAAUAUCAUCAAUAUUAAUGCCAGUUGCAAUGUGAGCUCAGUGCCAGGGAGGCUGGUGAAGUGGACACCCAUGAGAGGCUAAUAGCUACAUCUAAUCAUCAAAGGGCAGAUGUUAAAUGUGAUUCAGAGGAAAGUGAGAGGAAGUGCUAACAAUGGCACAGAUGAAGAGAUAGGCUGAUACACGUGGUGAAAAUUGUCUAACACAAGCAUUAUCUUGGAGGAAAGAAGAGCAGAAGGGAGGGGAAGUUAUUCCUCAAAAUCCAUAAUUUUUUUUAAUUAGUCCAAGCCAGGCGCAAGAAAAACAACAUAACAAAUAUUUAAACACAUUUACAAACCCCAAUAAUUAAACAAAAAGUCAAAGCAAGUGAUUUUUUUCAAAGGAAAUACUGUGGUGUUAUCAUGGAAAUAUGUCUUUUAAAACAUCUUUAUCGAGUGAAAAAAAGAAUAUAAAUAAAAAUGGCAAAAAAAUCUCAAUGCUGCCAUUCUUUUUGUGUGUGUAUCCACAUAUCUAGAGAUCAUCUUAUAUAGAGUGCCUCUUCUCAUCUCCUUUGAGCUUUUGUGUUUUGUUGCUAAGGGAUGUUGAUGAGGCUAGCAGGAAUUUAUCAUCAGUGUGUUGAAGUGGAAGAUAGUAGAUGUUGUUAAUCUGUAGAUUGUAGAGCUCUUCCUACAGUGCUUCAAUCAGUUUACCUGUUAACACAAAAGAUUCCUAUUUCAAAAAAUGCAAAACUGUACGUAAUAGUGUGCCUGAGAGCAUUCAAAUGUAUUUAACUUUGACCUUCCUCAUCACUUCCAAUUGAGUAAACAAUCUUCCAAUGCUGCUGACAGCACCACUCAGUAAUAUUACUGUAACUAGUACAAGUCAUAUUCCCAGGCCAAAAGUAAAAAUUUCUUAGGGUGUCUGAUCUGUAGUUGCAGCAGCUAGUGAAUUUCUACCAGAGAUAAAUAUUUUUAAAAGCAAAAUUGAAACAACCAUCUCAACUAUUCACAAUCCGACAGCCAAAAGCUAAAUUAUCCUCCAAAUUGGAGAGGAACUCUACCAAGACUGAAAAUAAAAAGUUAUGAAGACCUGGCUUAUAGUAAUGUUUAGCAUUAGAGCAAUUGUACUUUUUUAUACAACAAGAUACACAUCACAUUUACUUCAUAUAAAUAAGAAUAGAUGAGAUAUGUGAAGAAGCGAAGUAAAUUAUGGGAAAAAAUAUAAGAUGAUAGACUAUAAGGGUAAAACAGGUGCAUUAAUAUUAAAAGUAGUGAAGACAUAGAUGUGAGACUUUCAUAAACAAUAUGUUAUAUAUAAAACAAAACAGAAAUACUGGAAUGGUGGAAAGAAGAACAAGACUUCAGCAGCUUUAGAUCCUAGUAUUGCCCUCAACUUGCAUUAUCCACUCCUAUUCUUUAUAAAUCUCAAAAGAGCUUCUAAUUUAGUUAAGUUGAUUGCCUUCCAUAAAGGUUAUCUAUAUCCUCACCUAGAAGAGUGAAAGGAAUGAUGCAAGAAGUUAACAACUAUUUGUUGAGUUAAAGAAUUAAUGUAGCCUAAAACAGGUCUUUUGAUUCCUAUACUUACAACUUUGUUUCUAUAUUUCACCUUUUAAGUCGUCUUCUUUGAAUGUUACUCAAAUGAUUCCAGAUCCCUCUAAAAGUCCUUACCUAUGGUAAGACAUUUUUGGGCAGUUUUAGCCCCAAAUAAUUUACCUUGUAAAAUUAUAUUUAUUUUUGUUUCUAUUAAUGUAACAAAUUAUAUACUGUAUGAGAACAUUUUAAUGGUUAUUUUGUGGUACAUAUGUAUAGAGUCUUCAAUGUUUGUAUAUAAGUGCUAUGAUCUGAAAGUUUGUGUCCCCCCAGAAUUUACGUAUUGAAACCUAAUAUGAUGGUAUUAAAAGAUGGAACCUUUGGGAGGCGAUUAGGUCAUGUGUGUAGGACGAUUAUGAAUGGGAUUAACGCCCUUAUAAAAGAGACUCCAGAGAACUAGCUUGAACUUUUCAUGUGAGGAAACAGCAAGAAGGUACCAUCUUUAAACCAAAACAGGAAAGGGGCCUUCACCAGAAACAAAACUUGCUGGUGCCUUUAUCUUGGACUUUCCAGCCUCCAAAACUGUGACAAGUAAAUUUCUGUUUAUGAGUUACCAAGUCUAUGAUAUUUUGUUACAGCAGUUUAAACAAACUAGGACAAUUUAUGUAUAUCUAUUCAAUGUCAUGGUAAGUUUUUUGAAAGUCAAGAGCUCAUCACUAUAUAUUUGGUAUAUUUACUUAGUGCCCAGCAUAUUUUUGUGUCAUGAUAUGUGUACAGAAACAUUGAAAGAAUAAUGCAAUAACCAUUGAAACAAGGAUGGAAUUACAAAAAAAAAAAAAGAGAAAGAGCUCUGUGAAGACAAGUUCCAGACUCUUUUGCAUAUAUUACUUAAGGAAAUUAAAGAAAGUGAUUAUUAAAUAAUUUUUCUUCAAAUUAAGUUAGAAGAGAAAAUACUGAUAAUACUACAACUACAGAUUUGCUCAGCAAAGCAUUUACAAAGAUACUUUCCUAUAGUAAGAGAGAACUCUUUCUAAAAUUGGUGCUGUAAGCAGUUAAGUAAAUUAAACAAUAACCAAAACAUUCAAGUACUAUUUUAACUUGAUGCAUCAAAAAUUACAUUAGCUUGUAAACAAAUAAUAAAAAUAUUUUUGUAAAUUUUGCCUUUGUUUUUAUUUGAUAUAUCCAUUUCAACAGACAAAAUGCAUACAUUAGGUUUAACCCAAUAAAAUAAACUUGAAAGAAUGGUUGGUAAUAAACAAAGGAGGACAAAGAAAAUGAGAGAUGACAUCAUAAGAGAGUAACUGUGAACAAUAUCUUGAAAGUUGAAAAACACUGUCUUCAGUAGAACAAGGACAGCUGAAACAUAAAUGCUUACUAAAAGGGAUAGUUAUAAGAAACAAGCUGAAUCACCAUGUAUGACAUAAGAGAUGCUCAGGAUUGGACAACCUGUUGCUGUAGAAGAAUGAAAUAAACUUAAGAAUAUACCUUGAUUGAAACUCUGUGGAGCAGUUUGACUUCUGGCACGCCCACUGAUCUAGUGGCAGCUUAAGCCAUUCUAUUCUCCAAUCAUCAUAGAAAAUCUGAGUUUUUUUCCUUAUAGAAAUUUGUUCUGAGUUGAGAAUACUAGGCUGGUAAGAAGAGGCAUAGGGAUGACAUGGUAUUUCAGCAAGCUGAAGAGUAUAAGCCACAUCGUUUAUGAACCAAUUGACAUUAAGUUCCCAAUAUUCACUGUUAGACCAGCAAAAGCCUGGCUUACUUCCUCUUCCCAUUGCAGGAAGCUUAUCAUGCUCCAAGUACAUCCCACCACAAUCUGAGCUUGCAAGAAACUUUUAAAUUCUUCAUGAUGAGAUAUGAGUGGAGAGCAAUGAUUUUUAUACAUUUGGUGAGAAAACUAACAUCAAACAGAGUGACAAAAACAAUUGAAUUAAUAACAAGAAUAAUUAAUGGCAGGUCAAUGAGCUCAUUCCAAUUCAGUGUUUUACUUCUGGUGCUUACUAUAAGUAAUCCCAAGAAAGGGAAGCAACGAGACAGCAUUUAAGUUCUGAUACUAAGUGGUAAAGAUCUAACACCACUAAAGCUCACUUGCAAAAAUUAGAAGAGGUGGCUGUCUCCUCAAAUACAUAGGCAUCAUUGUAAAGAUGCAAGAAUCUUGAAAACUCAGAGAAAUUUAACAUAACCAAAAAAAAAAAAAAAAGAAAGAAAGAAAGAAAAAAAAAAAAAAACAAUGCUCCAGCAAUGAAUCCAGAAUUCAGGAUCUCUGAAAUGUCUGACAGAUAAUUCAGAAGAAGUUCAGAGAAUCACAAGAAAAUACGUAUAAAAAACUAAAUAAAAUUUGGAAAACAAUACAGAAACAAAAGAUAAUUGAGAAAGAAAUAGAAACAAUUAAAAAAGGAAAUCCUAGAAAUGAGUAAUUUAAUAACUGGACACAAACUCAUUAGAAAUUUUCAACAUCAAACUUGAUCAAACAGCAAAAGAAUAAGCAAGCUUAAUGACAGAACAUAUGAAAUUACCCAAUCAGAGGAGAAAAAAAAGAAAAGAAUAAAAAAGAGUGAAGAAGGCCUAUGAGGAUUAUAGGACACAUCAAUAAAUUAAUAUCCACCUACUAUGAAUUCCUGAAGGAGGUGAGAGAGAAAAAGGCCUUGAAAGCAAUUUUAAGAUAAAUAGUGACUGAAAAUUUUCCAAAUCUGGAGAAAGAUGACAGCAUUCAAACACAGGAGCCUCAGAGGACACCCAUGAAAUUCAACCCAAAGAGGAAUUUCCCAAACACGUCAUAAUCAAAUUAGUUUAAAAAAAUAAGAAUUCUCAAGGCAUCUAGAGGAAAGAAACAUAUCACAUUCAUCGCAGCCCAAAUAGGGCUUUCAACAAAUUACUCAGUAGAAACCUUGUGUGUCAGAAGAAAGUGGGAUGCUAUAUGCAAAGUGCUAAAGAAAGAAAAAAAAAGUGCCAAUCAAGGAUAUUGUACACAGCAAAGCUAAUGCUCAAAUAAAAAAGAGAAAUAAAGACUUUCCUUUCUCAGAUAAACAAAAGCUGAGGGAAUUUAUCAACAGUAGGCCUGUAUUACAAAAAAGUAUUAAAAGGAGUUAUUUAAUCUGAGAGAAAUAAUAAUGGACACUAACAUGUAACAAAGAAACAUCUAAAGGUAUUAAACUCACUGGUGAAAAAAUAAAACAAAUUCAGAAUAGUUUAAUACCUUAAUUGGUGUAAAUAAAUCACUUGCAUUUAAGUAUAAAGAAUAAAAGAUAAAACUAUUCAAAAGAAUAGUAACUACAACAAUUGGUUAAGAGAUAAGUCAUAUAAAAAGGUAUAAAAUGAAACAUCAAAAAGAAAAAAAUGUGGUGCUAACCUGAAGAAUUUCUUUUCGUUGCUUUUAUUUGUGAUUAAAGUUAAGUCAUUAUCAGUUUAAAAACUAAUUAUAAGAUUUUUUUUUGUAAUUCUCAUGGUAACCACAAAGCAAAAACCUGUAAUAGAUAUACUAAAAAUAAAUAGCAUAGAAUGCAAACAUGCUAAUAGACAAAAUCACUUAACCACAAGAGAGGUAAAAAGGAAGAAAUGAUUUGCAAAAUAACCAGAAAACAAAUAACAAAAUAUAAACAGUAAACCUUUAUCUAGCAAUAAUAACCUUGAAUAUAAAUGAAUUCAACUCUACAAUUAAAAGUGAUAGAGUGGCUAAAUGGAUUUUAGAAAGACUCAAGUAUAUACUGUGUACAAGAGACUCACUUCAUUUAUAAAGAUACUCACACACCGAAAAUAAGAGGUGGAAAAAUAUAUGCCAGGAAAAUCAAAGACAAAGAAAAGUAAGAGUAGCUAUACUUAGACAAGAUAGACUUUAAGUCAAGAAUAGUUAAAAACAAAAAGGCACAGAAGACCAUUAUGCAAUGAUAAAGAGGUCGAUAGAGAAAGAAGAUAUAACAAUUGUAAAUAUAUAUGCAUCCAAACACAAGAAUAUGCAAAUACAUAAAACAAAUAUUAACAGACCUAAAAGGAGAAAUUGGCUGUAAUAUAAUAAUGGUAGAAAAGUUCAACACCCCACUUUAAGCAAUGAACAGAUUAUUCAGCAGAAUUUUUAUUUAAAAUUGAAUUUAAACUUCUCUCUAGACCAAAUGAACCUAACAGAUAUUUAUAUAACAUUCCAUCCAACAGCUGCCCAAUACACAAUUUUCACAACAGCUUAUAAAACAUUCUCCAAAAUAGAACAUAUGUUAGGUUACAAAACAAGUCUGAACAAAUUUUUAAAAAUGGAAAUCAUAUCAAGUAUAUUCUCUGACCACAAUGGAAUAAAGUUUGAAAUCACAACAGAAGGAACAUUGGAAACCAUACAAAUUUAUGGAAAUUAAACAGUAUGUUCCUGAACAAUGAGUAAGUCAAAGAAAAAAUUAAAAACAAAAUUUAAAAAUUCCCUGAGACAAAUGAAAAUGGAAACACUCUUACCAAAACCAAUGGGAUACAGCAAAAGCAGUUCUAAAUGAGAAGUUGGUAACUAUAAGCACCUACAUAAAAAAGUAGAAAGACUUCAAAUAAAAAACCUAAUGAUGUACCUCACAAAACUAGAAAGCAAAAACAAGCCAAACCAAAAUUAGUAGAAGGAAAGAAAUAAUAAAAAUCAGAGCAGAAAUAAAUGAAAUUGAGACCAAAAAUGCAAAAGAUCAACAAAACAAAAAAGUUGUUUUUUUAAAAAAACAAAAUUGGCAAACAAUUUACCAGAUUCAGAAAAAGAGAAAAGACCCAAAUAAAUAAAAUCAGAGACCAAAAGGAGAUUUAAAAGUGAUGCCACAGAAUUACAAAAGAUUAUCACAAAUAUAAAAAAAAAAUGCCUACAAAUCAUAAAACCUAGAAGAAAUGGAUACAUUUCUGGACUCACACGACCUACCAAAAUUGUACCAAGAAGAAACAGAAAACCUUAACAGACCAAUAAUGAGUAAUGAGAUUGAAGCACUAAUAAAAAGUUUCCCAUUAAAGAAAAGCACAAGACCUGAUGGCUUUACUGCUUAAUUCUAUCAAACAUUAAAAAAAUACUAAUACCAUUUCUUCUCACACUUGUCCAAAAAACUGAAGAGGAGAGAAUACUUCCUAAUUAAUUACACAAGGUCAGGGUUAUCAUAAUACCCAAACCAGGCAGGAACUCAGCAACGACAAAAGCUACAGGGUAGUAUUUACGAUGAGCAUAGAUGAAAAAUUAUACACAAAAUACCAGCACACCGAAUUCAACAACACAUUAAAAAUCAUUCAUUAUGAUCAAGUAGGAUUCAUCCCAGGGAUGCAAGGAUGGUUCAACAUAUACAAAUCAAUAAACAAAACACAUCACAUUAACAUAUCAGUGCAAUGCAAAUCGAAACCGCAAUGAGAUAGCAUCUUGCCCCAAUUAAAAUGGAUGUUAUAAAAAAGUCCAAAAGUAGCAAAUGCUGGUGAGGGUGCAGAGAAAGGGAAACACUAGUAUUUUAUGACUGACAAUGUAUAAUAAAUUAGUAUAGUUACUGUGAAAAACAAUUUCGAGCUUCCUCAAAAAACUAAAAAUGGAACUAUCAGACAGGUGUAGUGUUGCACAACUGUAGUUCCUGCUGCUCAGAAGACUAAGGCAGGAGGAAGGCUUGAGCCCAGGAGUUUGAGGAUGCAGUGAGUUAUGAUCACAUGACAGCACACCAGCCUGGAUGACAGAGUGAGUCCCUGUUUCUACAAAAGACAUUAAAAAUAAAUAAAUGAAAGUAGAACUACAAUAUAAUCCAGAAUUCCACCACUAGGUAUAUAACCAAAAGAAAAGCAAUUAGUAUAUGUUGAAUACGUGUGCUUGUUUAUUGCAGCAUCAUUCACAGUAGCCAAGAUACGGAAUCAAACUGUUUAUCAAUUGAUAAACAGAUUUUGUAAUAUACAUAAUGGAAUAUUAUUCAGCCAUAAAAAAUGAAAUUUUGUCAUUUGCAGCAACAUGGAUGAAAUUAGAGGACACUAUGUUUAGUGAAAUAAACCAUGCACAUUAAUAACAAAUAUCACACAUUCUCACUCAGAUGUGAAAGCUCAGAUGUUGCUCUCAUGGUGGUAGAGAGUAAGAUGAUGGUUACCAGAGGCUGUGAAGUACUGAGGAAGGGGGGAUAAAAUGAAGCUGGGUAAUCAACACAAAAAUACAGUUAGAUAGAAAAAGUAAGUUCUAGUCUUUGCUAGUGCAGUUGAGUGACCGUAGUUAGCAAUAAUUUAUUGUACAUUUCAAAAUAGCUAAAUAAUAAUAUUUGAAAUAUUCCCAAUACAAAGGAGUGGCAAAUAUUUGAAGCAAUAUUACUGACAGAUACUGAUAUUUAUCCUAAUUACUCUUGAUUUAAUCAUUAUAUGUUGUAUACUUGCCUCAAAUUACUACAUGUACCCCAUAAAUAUGUACAAUUAUUAUUAUUAAUAAAAAAGAAUUACAGCUAGAAUAAGUUUAAACACAUCAAAUAUGGUAAUUUUUUUUGCUUUUAUAAUAAUACUAAACAACAUCAAACAAUGAUUUUAAAAGUAUUCUCUUUGAUUAAACUUUGAGGAUGUUUGGGAAACAACUCACUAUUUUGAAAACUAAUAAAUAAGGGAAUAUUAAACAUUCCAUUAUUUCCUAUACAAACUAUGCCUCAGGGUCAGCAAAUAGUUGAUGAUAAUUUUUUUUCUUUAUGAAAGUUUUCCAGCUAAAUUAUGGAAAAGAAAAUACAUAAUGGAAACAGUACAGAAGAGAGGGACAUAUUUUAAAUGACAUCAUAUGGAUUUAACUGAAACCUGAAGCAUCAGAAUUGAAAUCUAAAGCAUCAGAAAUCAUAGUAGGAGACAAAUCAACUAAUUUGCUCAUCAAGUAUUUUCUGAAAAGGUGGAUUGCUGCUUCAAAGGACCUGGACCCAGAGGCCCUGUCCAUGAAUGUUUCUUGCUUGGUUCCGAGGCCACCAAACAUACUGGCUGAGCCUUCUGUAUUCACCCUGGCCUAUCAAUGCCAUCUAUGAGAGCAGCCACACUGAGAGAGCAGCAGCAUGGAGCCUACUCAAGGGUUUGUUUCAAAAAUAUAUGGAAAACAAGAAAAACCAAAAGAGGAAACCAUUUCUAAUGAGGAGACUAGUUCAAUUAUUCUGAAGUCAAGCCCUGCUAAUCAAGGAGGAUGGGAUCUUUUAUGAAGAAAUGGAUUGGGAAGAAAAACAUAAGAUAAGGUUGGAACCUCUUCUGGUGCAAGAAGGUCCUAAAUAUUACUGAGGAUCUCUCAUCUUCUAGGUGAAGCUCACAAAAUUGCCCUGGAGGUUGCUGCCUUCCUGGAAGCCAGAGUGAAAAAAAAAAAGAGGACAUGCAGUUGCACAUGGGAGGAUUUUGUGGGCCAUGGUUAUCAGGGCACAAUCCCUUAGCUCACCUUUCUCUGGUGAGAAAACACUUCCAGUGCCACACCUCAGUCUCCUCCCUCUGGUGAAAAAAACACUUCCAGUGCCACACCUCAGCCUCCUUCCUCUGGUGAAAAAACAGUUCCAGUGCCAUACCUCAGCCUUUCCUCUGGUAAAAAACACUUCCAGUGCCACACCUCAGCCUCCCUCCUCUGGUGAAAAAACACUUCCAGUGCUACACCUCAGCCUCCUUCCUCUGGUGAAAAAAUACUUCCAGAGCCACACCUUACCCUCCUUCCUCUGGUGAGAAACUACUUCCAGUGCCACACCUCAGCCUCCUUCCUCUGGUGACAAAACACUUCCAGUGCCACAACUCAGCCUCCUUCGACUGGUGAGAAAACACUUCCAGUGCCACACCUCAGCCUCCUUCCUCUGCUGAGAAAACACUUCCAGUGCCACAGCUCAGCCUCCUUCCUCUGGUCACAAAACACUUCCAGUACUACACAUCACUGCUGGAGAACUGGAGAGUGGAGUCUUCCAGCCCAAGAAGAAAGAAAUAUAGGAUUUUGUCAAGUACCAGAAGUUUCUGCCACACUCAGUGGGCAUUCUUUGACAGAGAGGGUACAGAAGCUGAUUUUGUGAUUGAUUGGAAUGGGACAGCAGUGAGGAGCCACCAUUUUGCUCACAGAUGAAAGAUCACCCAUUGUAAGAGGCUGCCUGAAGAGAAAACAAGCAAGAAAGACUGGCCAAAUUUGCAGUGCGGAGGUCCAGGAAAGAGCCUGGAUAGUGAGCAGGUUGUUUGCUGCCGACCCUAAAGAUGCAGGAAUCCAGCCAUGACCAUGCAGUUUUGGCCACACAAAUACCUUUGUUCAGAGAGGUUUUCAGCUGAGGUGACAUUUCUGCAAACAAAGUAGACUUGGCUUCCCUGGAAAGUGAUGGAACCAUUGAAAAGCCAGAAAAAUAAAGAGUUUUAAUGGAGUAAAAAUUACAAAUGCCACAUGGCAUAUGGGAUACAUUGUGAAGAAGUAAUCAUGAGACUAGAAGCCAUAGAUUUAAUAAGACUCGAUUCUCACCACAUGUACAAACAGAAUUAGGAAUAAAUCGCAUACAAUGAUCCCGGUAGAAGACACAAAACUUCCACGUCAGAGACAAAGGAUUUCAUUACUCAUGGCAAAAGCAGGAAUCAGAGCUUCACAUUUGCUGGUGUCAAUUUCUCAUACCCUCAAAUCCCAGAAGCAUGACACAAAAGAGUCCAUGAUGGAUGUCUGAAUACACAGUGGGCUGUGUUAGAAGAGAGUAACACUGAGCUCAGGUGAUCUCUGCUUCUGUAGUAAGCUUGCACUUUGUCUCGGGGGAGACAUUCCCUCAUCACUCAAGACUGUUCCCUGCAAACACAACCUUGAAUAAUGGCCCAGAAGAGUGGUGAGAGUUCUAAAUUCCUGGCACUUCCAGCAAGUAUGCUCAGGAACACCAGGGCCCAAAGUGGAUUGCCUCUUCCUAAAAAUAUGUUUAUGACUGAAGCCCUUUCCUUUAAAAUGUUAGGUGAAUAUGGAUCUUUUAUUUGCUGUCCUAUUUCAUUUUCAAUAAUUCUGAGUAUGACUCACCAAAAUGAUUUCACAAAAUAAUCUGUAGUAACCUUCAAUUUAAACAACAAACAAAUAAAAAAAAUUGCUAUGUUAAGUAUAUAUUUGAGAGUGUAAUUGCAGAAUUACAUUCUUCCUUAACAUACAAUGUGAAUGGUUUUAUAAAGUGAUUUGUCAGUUAUUUAUCAUUUGCUUUUCACAAGCGGUGUAUGAAUAUUCCCCUUGCCAUAUGUCUCCACCACCACUUGGUUUUGUCAGACAUUUAUUGUUUGAUAAUCAAAUACUGCAUAAUUAUAUCUGAUUUGGUUGUAAUUUGCAUUUUACUUAUUAUUAAUGAGGUUUAGCAUUGCCAUAUGUGUAUAAGUCAUUUGUUUUUCAUUGUCUGUUAAAUGUCUGCAUAUGACUUUGGCCCGUUUUAAAAUUGAGAUAUUUCUUUCUUUUAGAUUGAUACAUGAAUUAUUUACAUUUGUGAGUUAUGAAUAUUGUCAAUAACGUCUCACUGUAGAUCAAUUUUUCACUGAAUUUCUGGUAUCAUUUUAUAAAUUAAAUUUAUUUUAAUGUUUCAAGUAUUCUAUUUUAAACUGAUAUUUUAUGGUAUUUGUCAUGUAUAAGAACUCAUUCUAGAUCAUUAGUCAUAAAGAUAUUCAUCUAAAUUUUCUUCAAAACUGUUAAAUGUCUUUAACAUUUAAGUCCUAAAUACAUCUGAACUGGUCCAAUAAUCCAAAUGAAUCAAAUAUCUAAGAAAAACUGUAACAAAGGAAGAGACAAAUCUAUAGAGAGUACAUUAUAAAACAUUCUUGAGGGAGAAUCAAUAUGAACCUAAAUUAAUAGAAAACUAUUUAUGGAGGGAAAGACAGUAUGUAAAGAAGCAAAUUAUCUUCAAUUCAUCUGUAAAUUUACUGCAAUCUCAAUAAAAAGUCAAGUAGAAGCUUUUUUGUUGAAAUUGAUAAGCCAAUAAUAAAUUGUAAAUAUUCAAAGAUCUAAUGAUAGCUAAUGCAAUAUUGAAGAUAAACUGAAAUUUUGGAGAAUCAAGACUUAUUUGAGGAUUGCAGUAAUGAAGACAGUGAUUAAUUGUGCAAGAAUAGACAAACCAUCCAAGAAAACAAAAUAGAGAGCUGAAAAGCAGACCCAGGCUUAUAUUGAUCAGUGAUAUAGGUGGCAUAACAGGAGGGUGACAAAAAGACAGUUAUUUCCAUAAAUUGUACUUCAUCAAUUGUAUAUCUGAGAGAGAGAGAAAGAGAGAGAAAUUGUUUUUAUUCAUAGUAUAAUAUAUAAUUGCUUCUAUUCAUAGAGAGAAAGACAGAGAGAUAACUGUUUCUAUUCAUAGUAUAAGCAUCUUAAUUUCAGGUGGUUUUUAGAUUUUUAUGUGAAAGUUAAAAAUAGUAAAUCCUAAGAGAGGAUAAUAUAGAGGACGUUUUCACCACAUGGGGUAUAUAAAGAUUAAUAAAACUGGACACAAAGUCUCUGAUUAUAAAAAAAAUUGACAAAUAUUUUGACUGUAAGAGAUUAUAUUAAUAAAUACACAAUACAAUUUUAAGAGAAAUGAAAUGAGAAAUGAAAAGAGCAGCAGUAGAGUGGGAUGUCAAAGUACAUAUGACUGACAAAAAAUUACAAAAUCAAGACUAAAAUGGCAUACCACUAGAGCAGCUAUAAAUACAAAGAGUAAAAAUGCUCUUCUGUUUGGAGGACGUGAAGCAUGUUCUUGGGCACUGAUUACGUGAGUAGGUAGCUUUUCCUGAUUAUAUCCUCUGCAGAGUUUUCAUAGUGUAUCAUGUCUAGAUCACAACUGGAAAGAUCUAUGGCAAAUUCAUCAUCUGUCAAUGAGCGCAACCAAUAUUUGUUACAAUUUUACCAUGUUUAAUUGUGAAAGAGUUCUUAGAGCAUCAAAACACAUAUCCAGAAAUACUAUCCUCAAGUACCAGGCAAUAUUUAUUUUUUUUCAGUUACUUUUCUGCCCUAUAUUUAUCACUAAGCUCAUAUGAACUUUUAAUUUUUUAAAAAAACCUUUAGGUGUCUGUUUUACUCAUUCCAGAGAGAAGGAACUUAUUGGCACAUGACUGAUUUAUUAAAUACACUCAAUAAAAGUUGGCAUUUUUACAGUCAGCAAGCUCAAUAAAGUUCACAAAUAAAUCUUCUAUAGUUCUCAUAUUUACAUAUUUCUCAUAUUACUCUUUACCUAGGUAUCUAUCAACUUUGAAAGAUCCAAAAAUAGAACAUGAGGGCCAUAAUUGUCUGGAAAUGAGGAGAGGGUAUAUUUCUUUGUGAGAAUUUUUUGUGUAAAUGAGUAAGUUAAGAUGAUAUUAUAAAACCAAUUAUUAUAAAAUUCCUGAGGAUAUCCUCUAUAGCAUGUACUUUGGCAUUGAUUAUCUAUAUGAGUAGGUAGCUUUUCCUGAUUACAUCCUUUAUAAAGUUUUCAUAGCAUAUCAUAGCUAUGAAAAUAUUUUUCAGAAAAAGAUAAACCACACAGGAAUAAAUGAUAAAGUGAAUGAUAACUUUUCAGUUAAAAAAAGAACUAAAUGUACAAUGAAAUUUGGGACUAAAUAAAUGGCACUUCUGCACAAUUCAGAUCUUUUUCCCCCUUAUGCUGAGCCUACUUUGUUGUUUUGCAUAACCUACAACAUGUAGACAUCUCAGUUAGAGACCUCUAUCCCAUACCCUUUUUCCCCAAAAGUUCUUUCCUUUCAUCAGUGAUGGCUGAGUCGAUUCUUAGACUAGUUCCAAUGUAUUCCCUUGAUGUAAUCAUCAGAUCUGUCUCCCCUCAGCACCUUGUUUGGGGAUGCUUCUCAUUCUCUAUGCCUAGGUACAAUUUCAAAUCCAGAGUUGGAGCUGUCAUCUUCAUAAAUUCUCCUUAGAUUAUAGGAGUUCACAAAAUCUUGUCAUUUCUGUGUACUCUUCUCGGUCUUAAGAAAUGUUUCUCCUGGAAUAACCUGUGGUCACCCUCUGAUAGGUAUGUUCUGUUAUUAUGUUUUUGUGUAAAUUUUGUCAAGCUAAUGUAACUGUGAUUUUAUUUCACAUGAUCUAUAGGGCCUUACACAAACCUGAACCUAAUAAAGACAUGUGGGACAUAAUCUCAAAAUGAUAUCACUGAAACUCAUUUCCAACCCAAUUAAACUGUUCUCCUAGGGUUGGUUGACAGUCCAGAAUUAUUAGGCUUCUCAGUGGAGCCAGAACAAUCUGUCCAGUGAUACUUGAUCCGAUCAAGUGUUUUCAUGGGUGGUUUGGAAACCAUGUCUUGCUUUGCAGAUGUUAUUUAUCACAAAGUUGCCCCUAGCCCUUUAAUGUUGAGGAUUUGAUAUUAGUGGAGUUGUGGAAGUGAAAUUAUUAGGGUGUCCUUAAAGUCCUUUUCCAUAAAUGAAUGAUUUAUUGGAGCAAUGAAAGAAAGGAAUAAGUUUGCCUGCUCAAUAUAGCCCGUCAUUUUUGAUGAAUGUGACUCACCUUUCUGUAAGAAGUUCAAUUUAGCACUGGUACCAAUUCUUGAAUUUUAUAGAGAAGGAAAUUGUAAAAUGUCUUAGAAAUGUGGCCACGGAGAGAACAAACUGAGGUUGAAUGAUGCAAAAUCAGAACUACACUGAAUGCAACGUAAUGCCAAUGCUGUUCAAUGCCAAGAGACUUACAGGAUAAAAUUUGGCUUUUUCCUUUUGAAAUAAUAUUAGCUUGCUAUUGAGUAAAAUCAGGUAGCAACACUUCAUAACUCCAUUACCUACCUGUUUUGUAUUCAUUAAAGUGUGGCUUUCUUGGCCUGACUGUCAGUGGUAUGCUGAGAUGGCUUGCCACAGCUCCAGAGUGCAUUGUAUAUAUUUCUUCUUGACUUCACGUUAAGUGACAUUAUGUUGGUAGCUUGGAAUUGGUCAUGAUGAAGCUAUAUAUACCAGGAAAACUGGCACAUGCUGCAAAUGAAGGCUCCUGCUCUUCCAGAGAUCUAACUGUUAAGUAUUUAUCAGCAUACUACUAACCUGUGUUCAAAGGUUGAACUGCAGAAGCCUCU
RNAcentral lists this long non-coding RNA (17109 nucleotides) under Homo sapiens (human). RNAcentral describes it as "HSALNT0213922". The record is from RNAcentral. Lineage: Eukaryota; Metazoa; Chordata; Mammalia; Primates; Hominidae.